GAUGAACGCUGGCGGCGUGCCUAACACAUGCAAGUCGAACGCUCGCAAGAGAGUGGCGCACGGGUGAGUAACACGUAGCUAAUCUGCCCUCAAGACAAGGAUAACUGUAGGAAACUACUGCUAAUACUUGAUAAGCUUACGGACUGUAGAGGUCUAUAAGAAAGAUUUAUCGCUUGAGGAUGAGGCUGCGCGCCAUCAGCUAGUUGGUGAGGUAAUGGCUCACCAAGGCGACGACGGCUAGGGGACCUGAGAGGGUGACCCCCCCACACUGGGACUGAGACACGGCCCAGACUCCUACGGGAGGCAGCAGUGAGGAAUAUUGCUCAAUGGGCGCAAGCCUGAAGCAGCGACGCCGCGUGGAUGAAGAAGGUUUUCGGACUGUAAAAUCCUUUUCUGUGUGACGAGAGUGGACGGUAGCACAGGAAUAAGUCUCGGCUAACUACGUGCCAGCAGCCGCGGUAAU
This 463-nucleotide ribosomal RNA is filed under the name uncultured bacterium. Its description in RNAcentral is "bacterial SSU rRNA". It matches the Rfam family "Bacterial small subunit ribosomal RNA", at positions 28 to 524 of the family's 1533-position model. The record is from RNAcentral.